RNAcentral lists this long non-coding RNA (460 nucleotides) under Brassica napus (rape). Its description in RNAcentral is "long non-coding RNA (BNAP_LNC026557)". The record is from RNAcentral. Lineage: Eukaryota; Viridiplantae; Streptophyta; Magnoliopsida; Brassicales; Brassicaceae.
CAUUUUGUUUAACUACAUUUAUUGGUAAACGUUAUUGUAGAUAGCUUCUAUAAAGUUGUAUACUACACUUGCGAGCAUACCAUCUCAUAAAAGUAGAAACAAAGCUCAAAGCUAAAUCCAAAAUUAUCAUGAGAAAUUGAAGUAGAGAUGUGAAUAGUUCCAGUUAACAUAAAGUGGAAAAACAUAGUAAUAUCUUCUUCUCCCUAAAACUAGUAGCUAGCACAUAGUAAGAGAAGAUACUUCAUUACACAAACUGCUGCUGAUCCAUCUUUUAACCAUCAUCUAACUCCUGCUAAACAUAAAUCAACCAUGUGUGACAACUAGAUAGUAGCAACAUUUACAAAGCAAACCACGAUAGAGAUUUUUAUAUCUUCAUUCCCAGCUUAAUUGGUCUUCGUGUUGAAAUAUUUAAAAAAUAAGAUUUCACCAAAAAUUAUUUUUGUUUUGAAUCCUACCAAAU